This 1456-nucleotide ribosomal RNA is filed under the name Alphaproteobacteria bacterium. RNAcentral's name for it is "partial 23S ribosomal RNA". It matches the Rfam family "Bacterial large subunit ribosomal RNA", at positions 1495 to 2925 of the family's 2925-position model. Lineage: Bacteria; Pseudomonadati; Pseudomonadota; Alphaproteobacteria. The record is from RNAcentral.
GAUCCUGGUUGCCCGGUUUAAGCGUUUAGGCUUGUUUUCCAGGCAAAUCCGGAAAAUCAAGGCUGAGGCGUGAUGACGAGGCACUACGGUGCUGAAGCAACAAAUGCCCUGCUUCCAGGAAAAGCCUCUAAGCAUCAGGUAACAUCAAAUCGUACCCCAAACCGACACAGGUGGUCAGGUAGAGAAUACCAAGGCGCUUGAGAGAACUCGGGUGAAGGAACUAGGCAAAAUGGUGCCGUAACUUCGGGAGAAGGCACGCUGAUAUGUAGGUGAAGUCCCUCGCGGAUGGAGCUGAAAUCAGUCGAAGAUACCAGCUGGCUGCAACUGUUUAUUAAAAACACAGCACUGUGCAAACACGAAAGUGGACGUAUACGGUGUGACGCCUGCCCGGUGCCGGAAGGUUAAUUGAUGGGGUUAGCGGUAACGCGAAGCUCUUGAUCGAAGCCCCGGUAAACGGCGGCCGUAACUAUAACGGUCCUAAGGUAGCGAAAUUCCUUGUCGGGUAAGUUCCGACCUGCACGAAUGGCGUAAUGAUGGCCAGGCUGUCUCCACCCGAGACUCAGUGAAAUUGAACUCGCUGUGAAGAUGCAGUGUACCCGCGGCAAGACGGAAAGACCCCGUGAACCUUUACUAUAGCUUGACACUGAACAUUGAGCCUUGAUGUGUAGGAUAGGUGGGAGGCUUUGAAGUGUGGACGCCAGUCUGCAUGGAGCCGGCCUUGAAAUACCACCCUUUAAUGUUUGAUGUUCUAACGUGGACCCGUGAUCCGGGUUGCGGACAGUGUCUGGUGGGUAGUUUGACUGGGGCGGUCUCCUCCUAAAGAGUAACGGAGGAGCACGAAGGUUGGCUAAUCCUGGUCGGACAUCAGGAGGUUAGUGCAAUGGCAUAAGCCAGCUUGACUGCGAGCGUGACGGCGCGAGCAGGUGCGAAAGCAGGUCAUAGUGAUCCGGUGGUUCUGAAUGGAAGGGCCAUCGCUCAACGGAUAAAAGGUACUCCGGGGAUAACAGGCUGAUACCGCCCAAGAGUUCAUAUCGACGGCGGUGUUUGGCACCUCGAUGUCGGCUCAUCACAUCCUGGGGCUGAAGUAGGUCCCAAGGGUAUGGCUGUUCGCCAUUUAAAGUGGUACGCGAGCUGGGUUUAGAACGUCGUGAGACAGUUCGGUCCCUAUCUGCCGUGGGCGCUGGAGAACUGAGGGGGGCUGCUCCUAGUACGAGAGGACCGGAGUGGACGCAUCACUGGUGUUCGGGUUGUCAUGCCAAUGGCACUGCCCGGUAGCUAAAUGCGGAAGAGAUAAGUGCUGAAAGCAUCUAAGCACGAAACUUGCCCCGAGAUGAGUUCUCCCUGACUCCUUGAGAGUCCUGAAGGAACGUUGAAGACGACGACGUUGAUAGGCCGGGUGUGUAAGCGCAGCGAUGCGUUGAGCUAACCGGUACUAAUGAACCGUGAGGCUUAACCU